CCUACGGGGGGCUGCAGUGGGGAAUAUUGGACAAUGGGGGGAACCCUGAUCCAGCCAUGCCGCGUGUGUGAAGAAGGCCCUCGGGUUGUAAAGCACUUUCAGUGAGGAAGAACGCCUGGUGGUUAAUACCCAUCAGGAAAGACAUCACUCACAGAAGAAGCACCGGCUAACUCCGUGCCAGCAGCCGCGGUAAUACGGAGGGUGCGAGCGUUAAUCGGAAUUACUGGGCGUAAAGCGCGCGUAGGUGGCUUGAUAAGCCGGUUGUGAAAGCCCCGGGCUCAACCUGGGAACGGCAUCCGGAACUGUCAAGCUAGAGUGCAGGAGAGGAAGGUAGAAUUCCCGGUGUAGCGGUGAAAUGCGUAGAGAUCGGGAGGAAUACCAGUGGCGAAGGCGGCCUUCUGGACUGACACUGACACUGAGGUGCGAAAGCGUGGGUAGCAAACAGGAUAGAUACCCGAGUAGUC
Molecule: ribosomal RNA, 464 nt
Filed under: Vreelandella stevensii
Lineage: Bacteria; Pseudomonadati; Pseudomonadota; Gammaproteobacteria; Oceanospirillales; Halomonadaceae
Description: partial 16S ribosomal RNA
Rfam family: Bacterial small subunit ribosomal RNA
Source: RNAcentral